CAGGCUGGACAAGCAGGUAGUACGACCCUGAAAGGGUGAGGACCUCGAAAGGGGAGCGAGCUCAGGUGCUGCAUGGCUGUCGUCAGCUCGUGCCGUGAGGUGUUGGGUUAAGUCCCGCAACGAGCGUAACCCCUGUCUUCAGUUGCCAUCGGGUCAUGCCGAGCACUCUGGAGAGACUGCCCAGGAUAACGGGGAGGAAGGUGGGAUGACGUACGGAAUGUCGAUA
Molecule: unclassified non-coding RNA, 226 nt
Filed under: uncultured Nitrospiraceae bacterium
Lineage: Bacteria; Pseudomonadati; Nitrospirota; Nitrospiria; Nitrospirales; Nitrospiraceae
Description: contains 16S-23S intergenic spacer region
Rfam family: Bacterial small subunit ribosomal RNA
Source: RNAcentral